Molecule: ribosomal RNA, 256 nt
Filed under: uncultured bacterium
Lineage: Bacteria
Description: partial 16S ribosomal RNA
Rfam family: Bacterial small subunit ribosomal RNA
Source: RNAcentral
GCAAGUCGAACGAGAACGGAUAUAAGUUUACUUAUAUUGUCAGCUAAGUGGCGCACGGGUGAGUAAUAUAUAGUUAACCUGCCUUCUAGAAGAGAAUAAUUGUUGGAAACGACUUGUAAUGCUCUAUAUGCCUUUAUGACAUAAGUCAGCAAGGGAAAUGCUUUUGUGCUAGAAGAUGGGACUGUACGGUAUCAGAUAGUUGGUGAGGUAAUGGCUCACCAAGUCAAUGACGCCUAACUGGUUUGAGAGGAUUAUC